GAUGAACGCUAGCGGGAGGCUUAACACAUGCAAGUCGAGGGGCAGCAUAGGGUAGCAAUACUCUGAUGGCGACCGGCAAACGGGUGAGUAACGCGUAUGCAACCUACCCUGUACAGGGGGAUAACCCGGAGAAAUUCGGACUAAUAUCCCGUAAUAAUAUCCGGAGGCGUCUUUGGAUAUUUAAAGUUUCGACGGUACGGGAUGGGCAUGCGUAACAUUAGCUGGUUGGUAAGGUAACGGCUUACCAAGGCUAUGAUGUUUAGGGGUCCUGAGAGGGUGGUCCCCCACACUGGUACUGAGACACGGACCAGACUCCUACGGGAGGCAGCAGUGAGGAAUAUUGGUCAAUGGGCGCAAGCCUGAACCAGCCAUCCCGCGUGCAGGAAGACGGCCCUAUGGGUUGUAAACUGCUUUUCCAGGGAGAGAAACUUACGCACGUGUUGCGUGACUGACGGUACCCUGGGAAUAAGCAUCGGCUAACUCCGUG
Molecule: ribosomal RNA, 487 nt
Filed under: uncultured bacterium
Lineage: Bacteria
Description: bacterial SSU rRNA
Rfam family: Bacterial small subunit ribosomal RNA
Source: RNAcentral